Molecule: microRNA precursor, 88 nt
Filed under: Heterocephalus glaber (naked mole-rat)
Lineage: Eukaryota; Metazoa; Chordata; Mammalia; Rodentia; Bathyergidae
Description: mir-204 microRNA precursor family
Rfam family: mir-204 microRNA precursor family
Source: Rfam by way of RNAcentral
AUGUGACUUGUGGGCUUCCCUUUGUCAUCCUUUGCCUGGGGCUCUGAGUGGGGCAGGGACAGCAAAGGGGUGCUCAGUUGUCACCUCC